This 69-nucleotide transfer RNA is filed under the name Anthenea aspera. Its description in RNAcentral is "tRNA-Glu". It matches the Rfam family "tRNA". Rfam says of the family: Transfer RNA (tRNA) molecules are approximately 80 nucleotides in length. Their secondary structure includes four short double-helical elements and three loops (D, anti-codon, and T loops). Lineage: Eukaryota; Metazoa; Echinodermata; Asteroidea; Valvatida; Oreasteridae. The record is from RNAcentral.
AUUUUCGUAGUUGAAUCACAACAACAGCUCUUCAUGCAGUAAGUUUGGGUUAAACCCCCAACGAAAAUU